CCUACGGGUGGCUGCAGUGGGGAAUCUUGCACAAUGGGGGCAACCCUGAUGCAGCGACGCCGCGUGGGUGACGACGCCCUUCGGGGUGUAAAGCCCUUUCGUCGGGGACGAUAAUGACGGUACCCGGAGAAGAAGCUGCGGCUAACUACGUGCCAGCAGCCGCGGUAAUACGUAGGCAGCAAGCGUUGUUCGGAGUUACUGGGCGUAAAGAGUGCGUAGGCGGCGGCUCAAGUCUGGUGUGAAAUCUCCCUGGCUCAACCGGGAGGGGGCGCCGG
RNAcentral lists this ribosomal RNA (275 nucleotides) under uncultured bacterium. Its description in RNAcentral is "partial 16S ribosomal RNA". It matches the Rfam family "Bacterial small subunit ribosomal RNA", at positions 338 to 629 of the family's 1533-position model. The record is from RNAcentral.